This 497-nucleotide ribosomal RNA is filed under the name uncultured bacterium. Its description in RNAcentral is "partial 16S ribosomal RNA". It matches the Rfam family "Bacterial small subunit ribosomal RNA", at positions 28 to 507 of the family's 1533-position model. The record is from RNAcentral.
GAUGAACGCUGGCGGCGUGCCUAAUACAUGCAAGUCGAGCGAACAGAUGAGGAGCUUGCUCCUCUGACGUUAGCGGCCGACGGGUGAGUAACACGUGGAUAACCUACCUAUAAGACUGGGAUAACUUCGGGAAACCGGAGCUAAUACCGGAUAAUAUAUUGAACCGCAUGGUUCAAUAGUGAAAGACGGUUUUGCUGUCACUUAUAGAUGGAUCCGCGCCGCAUUAGCUAGUUGGUAAGGUAACGGCUUACCAAGGCGACGAUGCGUAGCCGACCUGAGAGGGUGAUCGGCCACACUGGAACUGAGACACGGUCCAGACUUCUACGGGAGGCAGCAGUAGGGAAUCUUCCGCAAUGGGCGAAAGCCUGACGGAGCAACGCCGCGUGAGUGAUGAAGGUCUUCGGAUCGUAAAACUCUGUUAUUAGGGAAGAACAAAUGUGUAAGUAACUAUGCACGUCUUGACGGUACCUAAUCAGAAAGCCACGGCUAACUACGUG